This 71-nucleotide transfer RNA is filed under the name Marmota monax (woodchuck). It matches the Rfam family "tRNA". Rfam says of the family: Transfer RNA (tRNA) molecules are approximately 80 nucleotides in length. The record is from Rfam by way of RNAcentral. Lineage: Eukaryota; Metazoa; Chordata; Mammalia; Rodentia; Sciuridae.
GGGGUUGUGGCUCAGAGGUAGAGCACUUGCCUCACAUGUGUGAGGCACUGGGUUCCAUCCUCAGCACCUCA